AUUCCAGCUCCAAUAGUGUAUAUUAAAGUUGUUGCAGUUAAAAAGCUCGUAGUUGGAUUUCUGGCGGGAGCGAUCGGUCCUUCACUCAGUGUUGGAACCUGAUUGUCUCCUGCCAUCCAUGGAGAAAACUUAUCUGGCAUUAAGUUGUCGGGUAGGCAAUCUCCAUCUUUUACUGUGAAAAAAUUAGAGUGUUCAAAGCAGGCUUAUGCCGUUGAAUAUAUUAGCAUGGAAUAAUAAGAUAGGACUAUGGUACUAUUUUAUUGGUUUGCACGCCAAGUAAUGAUUAAUAGGGAUAGUUGGGGGUAUUCAUAUUUGAUUGUCAGAGGUGAAAUUCUUGGAUUUAUGAAAGAUGAACUUAUGCGAAAGCAUUUACCAAGGAUGUUUUCAUUA
This 390-nucleotide ribosomal RNA is filed under the name Rhizosolenia sp. Its description in RNAcentral is "partial small subunit ribosomal RNA". It matches the Rfam family "Eukaryotic small subunit ribosomal RNA", at positions 582 to 975 of the family's 1831-position model. The record is from RNAcentral. Lineage: Eukaryota; Bacillariophyta; Coscinodiscophyceae; Rhizosoleniales; Rhizosoleniaceae.